GUGUUCGUUGGAAGGAGAGACCUUUGGCAUGUCAACAGUAAGGAACGGGAAUGGCAUUCGGGCUUCCUUGUUACGGAAUACAUACGUCCCACCUCAUUUGAGGUGGAUCGUGUUAGAAUUUCAU
RNAcentral lists this non-coding RNA (124 nucleotides) under Amborella trichopoda. Lineage: Eukaryota; Viridiplantae; Streptophyta; Magnoliopsida; Amborellales; Amborellaceae. The record is from RNAcentral.